Long non-coding RNA from Cyanistes caeruleus (blue tit), 557 nucleotides. RefSeq lists it as uncharacterized. Lineage: Eukaryota; Metazoa; Chordata; Aves; Passeriformes; Paridae. The record is from RefSeq and is a predicted model, not a curated record.
UUUCUGCUUUUGUACAAUGAUACUUUGUGUAAAUAUAUGGAGAUAUUUUGUUUCCAGAGUUUAUACAAGUCUUUAAAGUGGAACUCAGUUCCAGAACAGAGGAAUCCAAGGGCAGCUCAGAGAACUGUUGAUUCAUCCAUGCUAACAUAUUUAUGGAACAUCCAUCAUGUAUUUAAAAGGUGGACAUCUUCCACUGUAUUUUGAGCAGGAGAAUAUUGAACAAUGAAGAACGGCAGCCAGUAGAAGUUAAUGACACAGCUAUACAACAACACUUAAAAUUUUAGUAACCUACACAUCAAUCACCUUUCAAAGAUGACUUUUCCUCUGACUAAAGAGCCCUGCAGGCUUAAAAUAUAUAAGAAAUGUUGAAAUACAAAGAAGACAUAAGGUUCUGAAGUCUUCACAUUAAUUCUUAACAUGAACUAAAUACUCAAAAUAUGACACAUUGGAUAUAGCAACUCCACAAGUGUAAACUACACUACAUAAACUAAACCAAACUACAUAAAUGAAAAUGUAGUCCAUGAAUACUACACCAGCAACAAUAUAAGAAGCAUUUU